UGUGUUGUAUAAUACAAGUGUUGAGUGGAACUUAUUUACAUUGACUAUUUAAUAAAAAUAUAAGAUUUUGUUGCCAUAGACAAUAUAUCCAUCUCUCUUUCGUUUGUUUCCUAAGAGAAUCAUUCGAAAUACAAUAAAUAAUACUAAAAACAAAUACAAUAAAUAAGGAGGCACAGAAUAUAGUAAAGAAGGCGAGGCGAUUCGAAGAGACAAUUGGCAAAAUAAAAACGUGGGGGAGAGACCCCAAAGCUUGACUGCCCCUUCCCUCGUUGGGCCACUUCAAGUUCUCUUUCCUUCUCCAAAGGCCAUUUUUUCUUUUUCCUUUUCGGCCACACACAUAACCUACAGUACUGUUUACGCCUUUAAGAGGUAGAUAACCGAGAGGAAUGUAUACGUUAGAUUAUAUUUACAGAAUUGAUUAUGGCUAAGAAAUAUCAGAAAUCUUAACUAGAGCACGUAUCUUGUAACAACAUGUCUCUAUGUGCGUGAUAGGAUAUGUAUUGUGACAAUGUUUACUAAUCUUGACCAAAAGUUGUAUUAGUAUUAUAUGCUUGUGAUAAUGUUCAUCUACCAUUUGUUUAUGUAGUCAGUUAAAACCCUCGCAAGCCACCCCAAAAUAUAUAUGUAGAUAUGAUGAUGAUCUUAUCAUCACUACAUCUAUUGAUAUGUCAGUAAAACCCAAUUCAUUCUUUGCCGCUAAGCUUACUGUCCACGUGAUUUUCAAGUGGUGCCAUUUGCUUCUUCGGGAAAUAUGCUAGUGAUAAUGUUCAUCUACCAUUUGUUUAUGUAGUCAGUUAAAACCCUCGCAAGCCACCCCAAAAUAUAUAUGAAGAUAUGAUGAUCAUCAUCAUAUCAUCACUACAUCUAUUGAUAUGUCAGUAAAACCCAAUUUUUGCCGCUAAGCUUACUGUUCACGUGAUUUUCAGGUGGUGUCAUUUGCUCCUUCGGGGAAAACAACCAACAAGCAGACUUGUAUGAUCUCAACUCUCAAGACAAGAGUUUUGGAGGGGAGCGGGGGAGGACAGGGCAAAACUUUUCACACUCGGAAAAUAACUCAACAUCAUAAUACAAAAAAAAAAUUAACGAAUAUUGCAAGUUAACUUUUACGAAUCCAAAUAAUAUUAAUCGCUGACACCAUAUUUUUCACUAUAAAUCAAGAGACUCAUUUAUAUCAACAUGUAAUAGGUAACUAUACUAAUAUAAAAAAUUACCAACUUUCCAAAAUUUGUCUAGCUAUAUCAAUAAACAUUAAUUAUUAUCAUUGAGUAGAUGAGAUCAAUUCCGACCAAGCUAUAUAAAUGACUCAUUCACCUCAUGGUGGAUAGAAUCGCAAUUAAUAUCGGGACAAAAGGGUUAAGGUCAGUUGUGGAUAACAAAAUGGCUGGUCUGAGAAAAAAAAAACGAAUAUUCGCAUUUUUCAAGAGAAUAAAAACAAAUGUUAAAAUACAGAUAAAC
RNAcentral lists this long non-coding RNA (1455 nucleotides) under Brassica rapa (field mustard). RNAcentral's name for it is "long non-coding RNA (BRAP_LNC000764)". The record is from RNAcentral. Lineage: Eukaryota; Viridiplantae; Streptophyta; Magnoliopsida; Brassicales; Brassicaceae.